Molecule: ribosomal RNA, 634 nt
Filed under: uncultured Marinobacter sp.
Lineage: Bacteria; Pseudomonadati; Pseudomonadota; Gammaproteobacteria; Pseudomonadales; Marinobacteraceae
Description: bacterial SSU rRNA
Rfam family: Bacterial small subunit ribosomal RNA
Source: RNAcentral
CGCCUGGGGAGUACGGCCGCAAGGUUAAAACUCAAAUGAAUUGACGGGGGCCCGCACAAGCGGUGGAGCAUGUGGUUUAAUUCGACGCAACGCGAAGAACCUUACCUGGCCUUGACAUGCAGAGAACUUUCCAGAGAUGGAUUGGUGCCUUCGGGAACUCUGACACAGGUGCUGCAUGGCCGUCGUCAGCUCGUGUCGUGAGAUGUCGGGUUAAGUCCCGUAACGAGCGCAACCCCUAUCCCUAGUUGCUAGCAGUUCGGCUGAGAACUCUAGGGAGACUGCCGGUGACAAACCGGAGGAAGGUGGGGAUGACGUCAGGUCAUCAUGGCCCUUACGGCCAGGGCUACACACGUGCUACAAUGGUGCGCACAGAGGGCUGCAAACCCGCGAGGGGGAGCCAAUCUCACAAAACGCAUCGUAGUCCGGAUCGCAGUCUGCAACUCGACUGCGUGAAGUCGGAAUCGCUAGUAAUCGUGAAUCAGAAUGUCACGGUGAAUACGUUCCCGGGCCUUGUACACACCGCCCGUCACACCAUGGGAGUGGAUUGCACCAGAAGUGGUUAGUCUAACCUUCGGGAGGACGAUCACCACGGUGUGGUUCAUGACUGGGGUGAAGUCGUAACAAGGUAACCGUA